Molecule: ribosomal RNA, 400 nt
Filed under: bacterium Ellin5047
Lineage: Bacteria; Pseudomonadati; Pseudomonadota; Alphaproteobacteria; Hyphomicrobiales; Nitrobacteraceae
Description: bacterial SSU rRNA
Rfam family: Bacterial small subunit ribosomal RNA
Source: RNAcentral
AGCGAACGCUGGCGGCAGGCUUAACACAUGCAAGUCGAGCGGAUGUAGCAAUACAUCAGCGGCAGACGGGUGAGUAACACGUGGGAACGUACCUUUUGGUUCGGAACAACACAGGGAAACUUGUGCUAAUACCGGAUAAGCCCUUACGGGGAAAGAUUUAUCGCCGAAAGAUCGGCCCGCGUCUGAUUAGCUAGUUGGUGAGGUAACGGCUCACCAAGGCGACGAUCAGUAGCUGGUCUGAGAGGAUGAUCAGCCACAUUGGGACUGAGACACGGCCCAAACUCCUACGGGAGGCAGCAGUGGGGAAUAUUGGACAAUGGGCGCAAGCCUGAUCCAGCCANGCCGCGUGAGUGAUGAAGGCCCUAGGGUUGUAAAGCUCUUAUGUGCGGGAAGAUAAUGA